CGAGUGAAGCGGCAAUAGCUCAAAUUUGAAAUCUGGAGCCUUCGGCUUCCGAGUUGUAAUUUGAAGAGGAUGUUUCGGUUGCGAUCUGGGCCUAAGUUCCUUGGAACAGGACGUCAUGGAGGGUGAGAAUCCCGUACAUGGCUGCAGGUUUGCUUCUAUGUGAAACUCCUUCGAAGAGUCGAGUUGUUUGGGAAUGCAGCUCAAAAUGGGUGGUAAAUUUCAUCUAAAGCUAAAUAUUGGCGAGAGACCGAUAGCGCACAAGUAGAGUGAUCGAAAGAUGAAAAGCACUUUGAAAAGAGAGUUAAACAGUACGUGAAAUUGUUGGAAGGGAAGCGCUUGCAAUCAGACUCACUUGCGGUUGAUCAACGUUCCUUCUGGUUCGUGCACUCUGCCGUUUGUGGGCCAGCAUCAGUUGGUGCGGUGGGACAAAGGCAGCAGGAAUGUGGCUCCCCCGGGAGUGUUAUAGCCUGCUGUGUAAUGCCACCAGCGCCGACUGAGGUCCGCGAUUCGUCUAGGAUGCUGGCUUAAUGGUUGU
Molecule: ribosomal RNA, 535 nt
Filed under: uncultured Orbiliaceae
Lineage: Eukaryota; Fungi; Ascomycota; Orbiliomycetes; Orbiliales
Description: LSU rRNA
Rfam family: Eukaryotic large subunit ribosomal RNA
Source: RNAcentral